Molecule: ribosomal RNA, 253 nt
Filed under: uncultured bacterium
Lineage: Bacteria
Description: partial 16S ribosomal RNA
Rfam family: Bacterial small subunit ribosomal RNA
Source: RNAcentral
UACAGAGGUCUCAAGCGUUGUUCGGAUUUACUGGGCGUAAAGGGCGCGUAGGCGGCGGGUCAAGUCGAGUGUGAAAGCCCCGGGCUUAACUCGGGAACUGCGCUUGAUACUGUCGAGCUAGAGUGUGGAAGGGGCGAUUGGAAUUCCGUGUGUAGCGGUGAAAUGCGUAGAUAUACGGAGGAACACCAGAGGCGAAGGCGGAUCGCUGGGCCAACACUGACGCUGAGACGCGAAAGCUAGGGGAGCAAACGGG